AAACUCAAUGUGAUUUCAACAUGGCAAACGACAACUUCGAGGAUCGAUUGAUGAGGAGGUGCUGAAGUGCCUUCACCACUACGAUUCUAGCCAUACAUUAUAUAAAGUCCUGCAUGUAAAUACCAAUUCAUGGAGGGAGACACUGGGGUUUGACCCAACCACUUGUUUGGAAAAGUGGAGUAGGUUUUGCGAGAAGUUCGUCAAGGCAAAGAAAAGAAACAAGGGCCUCAGUGGAGAUGCCGGUGGAAAGGCUACUUCAGAAAUGUUGCUGAUGGCUUGUUCGGCACAUGAAGCAUGGGAGAACUGAAAGCAACAUGCCGUCUUCACCAAAGGAUGAGGCACAAACAUCAGUGAAUGGAGACAGCACCUGGUUUUUGUUCUCUGCGCCCCAGCACUGCCUGUUCACCGGCCCAGUAGUAGCAAGGGUGUGAGAAGAAGGGCCCUGGCACCUAGAGCUGAUUUCAUGGAUGAACUCUCACCAAAACUCCGGGAGGAAUUUGAUCACCAGCUGUAUGAGUUCGUAAAUUACUUCAAGAAGAGGACAUGGACCACAGUGAAAUGCACACCUUCUGUUGUUUUUCAGACAUCUCAGCAGUCGAACAUUAGACCCUUUUGUUGUUUACAUGUCUGUUCAUAGCAGACACUGUUGUACAGAAAUAUUUAUAACACCGACACUUACAUUUUAUUCCAUAGACACUUGUUUACAUGUCUGUUCUCAGCAGACACUUUUGUACUGUGGUUUACUUUGAGAAGAAAGAAUA
Salmo salar (Atlantic salmon) is the source of this 761-nucleotide long non-coding RNA. RefSeq lists it as uncharacterized. The record is from RefSeq and is a predicted model, not a curated record. NCBI's taxonomy places the organism in Eukaryota, Metazoa, Chordata, Actinopteri, Salmoniformes, Salmonidae.